GCGUCCCUACGGGGCGCAGCAGUGGGGAAUAUUGGGCAAUGGGCGCAAGCCUGACCCAGCAACGCCGCGUGAAGGAAGAAGGCUUUCGGGUUGUAAACUUCUUUUCUCAGGGACGAAGCAAGUGGCGGUACCUGAGGAAUAAGCCACGGCUAACUACGUGCCAGCAGCCGCGGUAAUACGUAGGUGGCAAGCGUUAUCCGGAUUUACUGGGUGUAAAGGGCGUGUAGGCGGGGGCGCCAGGCAGAUGUGAAAAACACGGG
This 260-nucleotide ribosomal RNA is filed under the name uncultured bacterium. RNAcentral's name for it is "partial 16S ribosomal RNA". It matches the Rfam family "Bacterial small subunit ribosomal RNA", at positions 333 to 607 of the family's 1533-position model. The record is from RNAcentral.